Molecule: ribosomal RNA, 465 nt
Filed under: uncultured bacterium
Lineage: Bacteria
Description: partial 16S ribosomal RNA
Rfam family: Bacterial small subunit ribosomal RNA
Source: RNAcentral
CUACGGGGGGCUGCAGUGGGGAAUAUUGCACAAUGGGCGCAAGCCUGAUGCAGCCAUGCCGCGUGUAUGAAGAAGGCCUUCGGGUUGUAAAAUACUUUCAGCGGGGAGGAAGGGAGUAAAGUUAAUACCUUUGCUCAUUGACGUUACCCGCAGAAGAAGCACCGGCUAACUCCGUGCCAGCAGCCGCGGUAAUACGGGAGGGUGCAAGCGUUAAUCGGAAUUACUGGGCGUAAAGCGCACGCAGGCGGUUUGUUAAGUCAGAUGUGAAAGCCCCGGGCUCAACCUGGGAACUGCAUCUGAUACUGGCAAGCUUGAGUCUCGUAGAGGGGGGUAGAAUUCCAGGUGUAGCGGUGAAAUGCGUAGAGAUCUGGAGGAAUACCGGUGGCGAAGGCGGCCCCCUGGACGAAGACUGACGCUCAGGUGCGAAAGCGUGGGGAGCAAACAGGAUUAGAUACCCCAGUAGUC